UACAGAGGUCUCAAGCGUUGUUCGGAUUCAUUGGGCGUAAAGGGUGCGUAGGUGGCGUCGUAAGUCGGGUGUGAAAUUUCGGAGCUUAACUCCGAAACUGCAUUCGAUACUGCGGUGCUUGAGGACUGGAGAGGAGACUGGAAUUUACGGUGUAGCAGUGAAAUGCGUAGAGAUCGUAAGGAAGACCAGUGGCGAAGGCGGGUCUCGUGGACAGUUCCUGACACUGAGGCACGAAGGCCAGGGGAGCAAACGGG
RNAcentral lists this ribosomal RNA (254 nucleotides) under uncultured bacterium. RNAcentral describes it as "partial 16S ribosomal RNA". It matches the Rfam family "Bacterial small subunit ribosomal RNA", at positions 524 to 776 of the family's 1533-position model. The record is from RNAcentral.